This 731-nucleotide ribosomal RNA is filed under the name uncultured bacterium. Its description in RNAcentral is "bacterial SSU rRNA". It matches the Rfam family "Bacterial small subunit ribosomal RNA", at positions 771 to 1501 of the family's 1533-position model. The record is from RNAcentral.
AACAGGAUUAGAUACCCUGGUAGUCCACGCUGUAAACGAUGUCGACUUGGAGGUUGUGCCCUUGAGGCGUGGCUCCCGGAGCUAACGCGUUAAGUCGACCGCCUGGGGAGUACGGCCGCAAGGUUAAAACUCAAAUGAAUUGACGGGGGCCCGCACAAGCGGUGGAGCAUGUGGUUUAAUUCGAUGCAACGCGAAGAACCUUACCUACUCUUGACAUCCAGAGAAUUUGCUAGAGAUAGCUUAGUGCCUUCGGGAACUCUGAGACAGGUGCUGCAUGGCUGUCGUCAGCUCGUGUUGUGAAAUGUUGGGUUAAGUCCCGCAACGAGCGCAACCCUUAUCCUUUGUUGCCAGCACGUGAUGGUGGGAACUCAAAGGAGACUGCCGGUGAUAAACCGGAGGAAGGUGGGGAUGACGUCAAGUCAUCAUGGCCCUUACGAGUAGGGCUACACACGUGCUACAAUGGCAUAUACAAAGAGAAGCGAACUCGCGAGAGCAAGCGGACCUCAUAAAGUAUGUCGUAGUCCGGAUUGGAGUCUGCAACUCGACUCCAUGAAGUCGGAAUCGCUAGUAAUCGUAGAUCAGAAUGCUACGGUGAAUACGUUCCCGGGCCUUGUACACACCGCCCGUCACACCAUGGGAGUGGGUUGCAAAAGAAGUAGGUAGCUUAACCUUCGGGAGGGCGCUUACCACUUUGUGAUUCAUGACUGGGGUGAAGUCGUAACAAGGUAACC